GUCCAGAGGACCUAUACUAUUUUUUUCUUUGAUUUUUACCUGGAUUACUGAGAUGCAUCAGGACAACUAACAGACUUAUGGUCACCUUUAUUUUCUUUGGGUGCACCACAGUCACAUCGGUGCUACGUGAUUUAAAAGAAGCAGUUUUCAUCACGUGUCUAGUCACACACGUGCGUCUUUCUAUCUUUGUGAGGACCACCCACAGCGCUCAGCCUYGCUCUGUGCCGUCUUUUCCCCACCAAGUUAGGCGAGGGGUGCAAAAACUAACUCGACGUGAUCUGGACUUAUUUAAAUAGAGAUGACUCUAUGCUGUGAAAUUCUUAGAGGGGCGGGCCGUGUCGUUGGUGUGGGGGUCUGACCCCCUUGUAUGAUGGUAGGGGAAACACUGAAAAGCAAAUUUGAGUAUGUAAUGAGCUUUGUGUUUGUCAGGUAAUGUAAUAAAUGUAAGGUGUUCAUGGAUGUCUUUUAGACUUUUUAAGUUUUACUGGUCAGCAGUUAAUAUUAUGACUUUCUUUGUUCAGUCAGUAAAACAUUUCAGUGGCUGCAACACGAGUAACAGCAGUGCUCAACUCCAUCAGCCUAAGGCUUUCUGAGCACCGCUCCACUGGAGAGGCAGAUCAUGCUUACCACCAGCUGGAGUGCAUCAGAGGCUUUUAGGAGGAUACUGGGACCAGUUUGUGAAUGCUGAACAGGCCUUACAGGAACUGGAGGAAGCAUUGGAUCCCCAACAUCAGUUACAGGUUCAGAGUUCCUACAGUAAAGAUGGACAACAGAGGUCAUCCAGCUUUCAGCAUAAACCGACAGCAGUUGGAUUUGCUUCACUUUGACUUUACAGCUUCAGACACUGUCCAUGUGUUGUGUGUCAGUGUGAGGACAAUAACGAGAAGACUUAAAGAGGACGGACCAUCAGUGCAACAGAUGUUCAGUGACAUCACGAGUGCAGAUUUACAAACCGUUGUCUCUGCAUAUCUGCACACAAACACAAAUUCAGGUUACAGGAUGGUAAAUGGUACUAAGGAGCAUGGGUAUCAGGGAAGGAUUAUUUAUGAAGGAAAGUAAUCAAAAUGUAAUUUUCAUAAUGUUGCAUCACUUAUUUGGUACAGUCUGUGAUUUCAAUGGUUGGUACAUGUCAAUAUGUUAAAAUAUCAGGAUUUCUAAAGUGACCUAGAAUUAGUCAUUGUUACAUGGACGAGGCUUUUAGUCAAUAAGUCUGGUUAAGUUUGUCUUUUUCUCCUCUCAGUGACCUGCAGCGUUGUCCUCCCUCUGCAGUGCUCUGCUGGCUGUGGAAGGAAGUCAGUGAGGAGUUAGACAUUUAUUGUGGUUCAGCUGGGUUUAUUCAAUGUUUCCAAAUACUGACUGACUCAGUGAGGACACCGAUCCUUUGUUGGAGCAGUGUUUCUCCUAGUCUCUGAGUCUAGGCUGAGAGAGACAAUGCAAGCUGUUGACCCUUUUGGUAAUGUCCUUCGUGGUUUAUGCUUGAACCUGUUCAGCGACGAUCGUACUCUGUCCCUGCCCCGUUGUCUUUGUGGCUUUUGGAUGGUUCUCAUAAGCUUAUUCAGCAAGUAACUUUAAAAUACUUUUGUAUUUUUAAUGAUGCACAUGUGACUCCUGCUAYACUCAUUGUGUUUGUCAUCAAGAUGGAGAAUUGUCAUUCACGGGUGCAUUGAUGGCUACAGCAGGAAGAUAAUGUACCUUCAUGCUUCUAACAACAACAAGGCUUCAGCAGCUCAGCAGGCCUUCUGGAGCUGUGCAGCAGUUUGGUUUGCCUCACUGUGUCCGCAGUGACAAGGGUGGUGAGAAUGUCGCAGUUGCCAGGUUUAUGCUUGACCAUCCACUCCAUGGACCAGGUAUGUUUAUUACUCACUGUACCCUACAGAGCUGCUGAAAUGAAAUAAAGUCUGACCCUGGAUUUACACUCGAUGUGACUCCACUGUGCUGUGGUGUCCCUUCAUGUUUUAAUAAAUAGUGCUGAUUAGAGGUGCAGCUACAAGCGGUAAUGUUCCUCAACUUUUACAGAAUUAACGAGUAGUUCGUGAACUCAAAACACCAGAAAUCCUGACAAAAUGAGCUGCUAGUCCACAGCUCAUAGGCUGAGCUCCUCUCUGUCACCC
Molecule: long non-coding RNA, 2111 nt
Organism: Austrofundulus limnaeus
Lineage: Eukaryota; Metazoa; Chordata; Actinopteri; Cyprinodontiformes; Rivulidae
Exons: 3
Source: RefSeq, a predicted model, not a curated record